Long non-coding RNA from Thalassophryne amazonica, 102 nucleotides. RefSeq lists it as uncharacterized. NCBI's taxonomy places the organism in Eukaryota, Metazoa, Chordata, Actinopteri, Batrachoidiformes, Batrachoididae. The transcript is spliced from 3 exons. The record is from RefSeq and is a predicted model, not a curated record.
CUUUUAUGAUGAUUUUUAUUGAUUCUUCUGUACAGCACUUUGGUCCAUUGUGGUUGUUUUAAAGUGCUUAACAAAUAAAGUUGGUUGGUAACACCAUGAUUA